AUCUACGGCCUUUCCAUCCUAAAUGUGCCCAAUCUUGUCUGAUCUCGGAAGCUAAGCAGGGUCGGGACUGGUUAGUACUUGGAUGAGAGACCACGUAGGAAGACCAGGUGCUGUAGGCA
RNAcentral lists this ribosomal RNA (119 nucleotides) under Pteropus vampyrus (large flying fox). Lineage: Eukaryota; Metazoa; Chordata; Mammalia; Chiroptera; Pteropodidae. The record is from RNAcentral.